This 567-nucleotide ribosomal RNA is filed under the name Galerina aff. sideroides 1 BRL-2018. RNAcentral describes it as "partial large subunit ribosomal RNA". It matches the Rfam family "Eukaryotic large subunit ribosomal RNA", at positions 231 to 788 of the family's 3401-position model. The record is from RNAcentral. Lineage: Eukaryota; Fungi; Basidiomycota; Agaricomycetes; Agaricales; Galerinaceae. RNAcentral also lists the same sequence under 1 other name.
GACUGCCAGGGCUUUGUGAUGCGCUCUCAAAGAGUCGAGUUGUUUGGGAAUGCAGCUCAAAAUGGGUGGUAAAUUCCAUCUAAAGCUAAAUAUUGGCGAGAGACCGAUAGCGAACAAGUACCGUGAGGGAAAGAUGAAAAGAACUUUGGAAAGAGAGUUAAACAGUACGUGAAAUUGCUGAAAGGGAAAACGCUUGAAGUCAGUCGCGUUGGCCGGGGAUCAACCUUGCUUUUGCUUGGCGUACUUCCCGGUUGAUGGGUCAGCAUCAAUUUUGACCGUUGGAUAAAGGUUAGGGGAAUGUGGCAUCUUCGGAUGUGUUAUAGCCCUUGGUCGCAUACAACGGUUGGGAUUGAGGAACUCAGCACGCCGCAAGGCCGGGUAUUUAUACUACGUUCGUGCUUAGGAUGCUGGCAUAAUGGCUUUAAUCGACCCGUCUUGAAACACGGACCAAGGAGUCUAACAUGCCUGCGAGUGUUUGGGUGGAAAACCCGAGCGCGUAAUGAAAGUGAAAGUUGAGAUCCCUGUCGUGGGGAGCAUCGACGCCCGGACCAGACCUUUUGUGACGGA